AGACUCAACCCCCCUGGUUUAUGAUCGGGAAGGGUUGGAUGUGGGCGCUGCCGAUUGCCGGCUCGCCUUAAAUGUCUUAGCGGCUUGGAAGCCCCGACCUAGCGUAAUAAGUUUCGCUGGAGAGGGUGCGGACGACUGCUCACAAUUGCCUUUGGGCAACUUUUUGA
This 167-nucleotide unclassified non-coding RNA is filed under the name uncultured Tremellales. Its description in RNAcentral is "sequence contains ITS2". RNAcentral also lists the same sequence under 1 other name. Lineage: Eukaryota; Fungi; Basidiomycota; Tremellomycetes; Tremellales. The record is from RNAcentral.